RNAcentral lists this ribosomal RNA (466 nucleotides) under uncultured bacterium. RNAcentral's name for it is "partial 16S ribosomal RNA". It matches the Rfam family "Bacterial small subunit ribosomal RNA", at positions 28 to 507 of the family's 1533-position model. The record is from RNAcentral.
GAUGAACGCUGGCGGCGUGCUUAACACAUGCAAGUCGAACGGAAAGGCCCAAGCUUGCUUGGGUACUCGAGUGGCGAACGGGUGAGUAACACGUGGGUGAUCUGCCCUGCACUUCGGGAUAAGCCUGGGAAACUGGGUCUAAUACCGGGUAGGACCACAUUUUGGAUGGUGUGGUGGAAAGUUUUUCGGUGUGGGAUGAGCUCGCGGCCUAUCAGCUUGUUGGUGGGGUAAUGGCCUACCAAGGCGUCGACGGGUAGCCGGCCUGAGAGGGUGUACGGCCACAUUGGGACUGAGAUACGGCCCAGACUCCUACGGGAGGCAGCAGUGGGGAAUAUUGCACAAUGGGCGCAAGCCUGAUGCAGCGACGCCGCGUGGGGGAUGACGGCCUUCGGGUUGUAAACUCCUUUCGCUAGGGACGAAGCGUUAUGUGACGGUACCUGGAGAAGAAGCACCGGCUAACUACGUG